GACGAACGCUGGCGGCGUGCUUAACACAUGCAAGUCGAGCGGUAAGGCCCUUUCGGGGUACGACGAGCGGCGAACGGGUGAGUAACACGUGGGUGACCUGCCCUCAGCUCUGGGAUAAGCCCAGGAAACUAGGGUCUAAUACCGGAUAUGACUCCAUGACGCAUGUUGUGGGGUGGAAAGCCUUGUGCGGCUGAGGAUGGGCCCGCGGCCUAUCAGCUUGUUGGUGGGGUGANGGCCUACCAAGGCGACGACGGGUAGCCGGCCUGAGAGGGCGACCGGCCACACUGGGACUGAGAUACGGCCCAGACUCCUACGGGAGGCAGCAGUGGGGAAGUCUUGCGCAAUGGGCGAAAGCCUGACGCAGCGACGCCGCGUGAGGGAUGACGGCCU
Molecule: ribosomal RNA, 390 nt
Filed under: uncultured bacterium
Lineage: Bacteria
Description: bacterial SSU rRNA
Rfam family: Bacterial small subunit ribosomal RNA
Source: RNAcentral